UGGACAGAUUAUUGUAUUCGACUGUAUUCACGGCGUGAAACAGCGGAUUACACUAUUUUUAAACGGGAAGUGAAUCAAUUAACAUAAUAGACUCCU
Non-coding RNA from Nicotiana sylvestris (wood tobacco), 96 nucleotides. The record is from Rfam. NCBI's taxonomy places the organism in Eukaryota, Viridiplantae, Streptophyta, Magnoliopsida, Solanales, Solanaceae.